This 541-nucleotide unclassified non-coding RNA is filed under the name Cucurbitariaceae sp. 1 NV-2016. RNAcentral's name for it is "sequence contains ITS1, 5.8S rRNA gene, ITS2". The stretch from base 181 to 334 matches the Rfam family "5.8S ribosomal RNA". The record is from RNAcentral. Lineage: Eukaryota; Fungi; Ascomycota; Dothideomycetes; Pleosporales; Cucurbitariaceae.
CGUAACAAGGUUUCCGUAGGUGAACCUGCGGAAGGAUCAUUAUCAAAUACAGCGGGCUUCGGCCCUGUCUGCACCCUUGUCUUUUGCGUACUAUUCGUUUCCUUGGUGGGCUUGCCUGCCAAAAGGACACUAUAAAACCACUUGUAAUAGCAAUCAGCGUCAGAUAACUAUAAUAGUUACAACUUUCAACAACGGAUCUCUUGGUUCUGGCAUCGAUGAAGAACGCAGCGAAAUGCGAAAAGUAGUGUGAAUUGCAGAAUUCAGUGAAUCAUCGAAUCUUUGAACGCACAUUGCGCCCCUUGGUAUUCCAUGGGGCAUGCCUGUUCGAGCGUCAUUUGUACUCUCAAGCUUUGCUUGGUGUUGGGUGUUUGUCCCGCUGCAUGCGUGGACUCGCCUCAAAACAAUUGGCAGCCGGCAUAUUGGUCCUGGAGCGCAGCACAUUUUGCACUUCCAGUCCUGCAUGUUGGCACCCACAAGCCUAUUUUACACGCUUGACCUCGGAUCAGGUAGGGAUACCCGCUGAACUUAAGCAUAUCAAUAA